UACAGAGGGUGCGAGCGUUGUCCGGAAUCACUGGGCGUAAAGGGCGCGUAGGCGGUCCGGUAAGCGUGCGGUGAUAGCCCGGGGCUCAACCCCGGGUCGGCCGUGCGAACUGCGGGACUGGAGCUUGUCAGAGGCAGGCGGAAUUCCGGGUGUAGCGGUGGAAUGCGUAGAGAUCCGGAAGAACACCGGUGGCGAAGGCGGCCUGCUGGGACGGUACUGACGCUGAGGCGCGAAAGCGUGGGGAGCAAACAGG
This 253-nucleotide ribosomal RNA is filed under the name uncultured bacterium. RNAcentral's name for it is "partial 16S ribosomal RNA". It matches the Rfam family "Bacterial small subunit ribosomal RNA", at positions 524 to 776 of the family's 1533-position model. The record is from RNAcentral.